GCGGACAUCGUAUAAUGGCAAUUACCUCAGCCUUCCAAGCUGAUGACGCGGGUUCAAUUCCCGCUGUCCGCU
Molecule: transfer RNA, 72 nt
Filed under: Buchnera aphidicola (Hyperomyzus lactucae)
Lineage: Bacteria; Pseudomonadati; Pseudomonadota; Gammaproteobacteria; Enterobacterales; Erwiniaceae
Description: tRNA-Gly
Rfam family: tRNA
About the family: Transfer RNA (tRNA) molecules are approximately 80 nucleotides in length. Their secondary structure includes four short double-helical elements and three loops (D, anti-codon, and T loops).
Source: RNAcentral